ACAAGCGAUCUGUCCAUCGCAAUGCACGAGAGGGUUCCCUCUCAGGAAUGGGAAUCUCGUACUCCCUAAAGAGAAGAGUAAAAAUCAUGCCGUAUGGGAGGGUGAGCCUAGGUCUAUCUAGGGGCUCACACAUAUACCUAUAGAUGAGUUUGGAGAAGUUGACCGGGGUGUCCUGAAGAAUGUAAGACAUAAUAGCUAGGUCCCUCUCAUUUACAAAAUCAAAUCUUCCUGUCUUAGGGAAGACGGACCUGGACAGAAUACUCAAAAGGAUUCUCACUUCAAUAGGAAGUGAGCUAGCAGAUACCUCGUCUAGGGGGGACUGAGGUGGAUGCCCUAGGAUAGCCGUAAGGGCCUCAACCCUAUCCUCAGGGUGUGCGGGAGCCACCCCUACUAAUGGAUGGAGGAUGUGGGCAAUAAGAUCCUCCGUGACACGCAAAGGGACACCGGCUACUGUGCCCUCGAUACCUCCAUCUCCCCGAUGGACGGUACC
Molecule: long non-coding RNA, 490 nt
Filed under: Phoenix dactylifera (date palm)
Lineage: Eukaryota; Viridiplantae; Streptophyta; Magnoliopsida; Arecales; Arecaceae
Description: long non-coding RNA (PDAC_LNC019789)
Source: RNAcentral